Molecule: non-coding RNA, 228 nt
Organism: Pelobates cultripes (western spadefoot toad)
Lineage: Eukaryota; Metazoa; Chordata; Amphibia; Anura; Pelobatidae
Source: the annotation of a GenBank genome assembly
CCACUAAAUACUGGAGUCCAUUAACUAACAUCAUAAUAGAAAACUAUAGUAUUUUAAAGAAACGUUAAAAGACUAAAAUAGUUUCAAGUCUGUAUACAAACGUUGGCCUCAGGCACCUGAGGAAGACUGUUUAGUUUAGUUGGUUCCUGCAUACCUCUCCUGAUUAUCUGAGCCCGAGAAAAGGGCACCCCUACAUUGUAUUUACAGGGUCUGACCAUGGCUCUCGAC